GUGCAUUUCAAUUUUAGAAACACUUGUAUCCUAAUUAUUCACAGCUAUAACAAAUUUGCAGUGCUUGAGAAUGUAAUCCAAGUACAUCAGCCUCCUAAAAAUAGCCUCUAGGAAAUUUUCAGUCAUGACAUUAGGAUCCCAUCAAGAAUAUUGUGUGAUAUUCGCACAAGAUUUUAAUCAAGAACCCUAUGCACAUUAAGAGUUACCAUUAGCAAACUCCAAACUUCAAAUUUUGGUUAUCCGGUAAAUGAAGCGAAAACACAUUCAGAUAUGAAUGGUAGUGGAAAAAACGUUCAAUGUAUUCUAGUUUCAAAAUAUUCUAGUUAGAAUCUGAGUUGUCAGGCUCUUCACAUUCAAUUUCUCUCACAUUGUUAGAUACUGCUUCAAUCUUAAGUGAUAGCCUUUGUGUAUGCUCCUCGAUAUAUUUCAAGACUAUCUGUAGCUGUUCUUGAUAAGCAGCUGAUUUCUUUUUCUCACGAUGCAAUUCUGUGGAUAGCUCCCGGAUUUUUAGAUCUUUCCCAUCCUCAUUGAAUGCAAUCCUAUGUGAUCGUCGAGGUGGUAUUUUGCUAGGAUUAAGCUCAUGGCUGUGUUCUUUUACAAAACCAUAAAUAACCCAUUUUCCUCCAUCCUUUGCAGCUAUCCUUAACAUUGCAUUGCAUCCCUCCCUAGUGGCAGGCCGUGAGGAAAAAACUCCAUUUUCUCUCUUUGUACAUUUCCCUGCACGAAACCCUUCUUUUGAGCAAACAAACUCUCGACCAAUUAUUGAGUUAUCUUUAAGUGACCGACGUGUACGAUUGUUCCGUAUGGUAAACCCCAUACGCCUGCCAUACAUCUCGUAGAAUUCCCUGGCAUCCUCUGCUGAGUCAAACUCCAUUCCUAUAAAUGGUUCCAAAGCUAUAGGAAAAUUUUGAACAGAUGGCUGAACUAUGUUAUCAUUUCCAUCCAGAUUAUCUGAUAGCUCAUCUUCUGUUGUUUCUGGGCCAUCAAAAGUUUCAUCUAGCCAACGCCUAUAAUUUCCAUUUGAAUGGAAUUGUUGGCUGGAAGUACUUGCCAUCACAAACCUAUCAGAAAAUCAGACUAGUAUCAAACAGAACCAUACAGCCAAAACAUAGAAGCAAAAGCAGACACAACAUUAUGCGGUCUUUCAGCAUCUCCAAGUCUGAGAUUCUCCAAAACAAUCCUGAAGGGGUGAAGGGAGAAAUUGCCGGCAUUACAUGUUAUCAACAACAUGCACCACGACCAUCCAUGUGGCGCACAUGGGCUAGAAAAGAUAAGAGAGGGAUAAAAUGCCAAUAACUAGCAGCAUAGGAGGCUGCUAAUCAGCAACCUGCAUUGGCAGCUGUGAGCUUAAUGUGAAGGAUGAUUAUAGAUUCAAUGGGCCUAGUUUGUAGGGGUUUCACCCACAUGAUGAUUCAAUUUGCUCAUUAAUGCAUAACCAUGAGGAUCAUCCAAGUCAAAUUAGCUUUGCAUAUUAAUCAUGUUUGAAAUAUUGUUCAAGCCUAUCAGACCAAUAGAUGGUGGGGAUAGGCUCAAUAAUUCAACAGGUGUAAAGUGGAAUGAAUCUCUUUGGAGAGAAGAGCCAUGUACCAUUGUGCUAAGGACUUAGAAGAAAAGUUGGUACUAUUAUCAGAUUACUUAUUUCAUUAACAGGCACGCAAUAAGAAAUGGAUACCCAACAGCAUCAAGCUUGCAUAUCUAAGUCACUCUCAUCUGAGUCAAACCCAUGACCA
RNAcentral lists this unclassified non-coding RNA (1730 nucleotides) under Hevea brasiliensis (rubber tree). Lineage: Eukaryota; Viridiplantae; Streptophyta; Magnoliopsida; Malpighiales; Euphorbiaceae. The record is from RNAcentral.